Non-coding RNA from Branchiostoma floridae (Florida lancelet), 94 nucleotides. Lineage: Eukaryota; Metazoa; Chordata; Leptocardii; Amphioxiformes; Branchiostomatidae. The record is from Rfam.
GUUUGCCUGUGUGUGGAUGGUGUUCAGCACCCAAGACAGGUGUGUUUGCCUGUGUGUGGAUGGUGUUCAGCACCAGGGACAGGUGUGUUUACCU